RNAcentral lists this ribosomal RNA (1112 nucleotides) under Nostoc commune EV1-KK1. Its description in RNAcentral is "bacterial SSU rRNA". It matches the Rfam family "Bacterial small subunit ribosomal RNA", at positions 356 to 1481 of the family's 1533-position model. Lineage: Bacteria; Bacillati; Cyanobacteriota; Cyanophyceae; Nostocales; Nostocaceae. The record is from RNAcentral.
GGGGAAUUUUCCGCAAUGGGCGAAAGCCUGACGGAGCAAUACCGCGUGAGGGAGGAAGGCUCUUGGGUCGUAAACCUCUUUUCUCAGGGAAGAACACAAUGACGGUACCUGAGGAAUAAGCAUCGGCUAACUCCGUGCCAGCAGCCGCGGUAAUACGGAGGAUGCAAGCGUUAUCCGGAAUGAUUGGGCGUAAAGCGUCCGCAGGUGGCGAUGUAAGUCUGCUGUUAAAGAGUCUAGCUCAACUAGAUAAGAGCAGUGGAAACUACAUAGCUAGAGUACGUUCGGGGCAGAGGGAAUUCCUGGUGUAGCGGUGAAAUGCGUAGAGAUCAGGAAGAACACCAGUGGCGAAGGCGCUCUGCUAGGCCGUAACUGACACUGAGGGACGAAAGCUAGGGGAGCGAAUGGGAUUAGAUACCCCAGUAGUCCUAGCCGUAAACGAUGGAUACUAGGCGUGGCUUGUAUCGACCCGAGCCGUGCCGUAGCUAACGCGUUAAGUAUCCCGCCUGGGGAGUACGCCGGCAACGGUGAAACUCAAAGGAAUUGACGGGGGCCCGCACAAGCGGUGGAGUAUGUGGUUUAAUUCGAUGCAACGCAAAGAACCUUACCAAGGCUUGACAUGUCGCGAAUCCUGGUGAAAGCCGGGAGUGCCUUCGGGAGCGCGAACACAGGUGGUGCAUGGCUGUCGUCAGCUCGUGUCGUGAGAUGUUGGGUUAAGUCCCGCAACGAGCGCAACCCUCGUUUUUAGUUGCCAGCAUUAAGUUGGGCACUCUAGAGAGACUGCCGGUGACAAACCGGAGGAAGGUGGGGAUGACGUCAAGUCAGCAUGCCCCUUACGCCUUGGGCUACACACGUACUACAAUGCUCCGGACAGAGGGCAGCAAGCAUGCGAAUGCAAGCAAAUCCCGGAAACCGGAGCUCAGUUCAGAUCGCAGGCUGCAACUCGCCUGCGUGAAGGAGGAAUCGGUAGUAAUUGCAGGUCAGCAUACUGCAGUGAAUUCGUUCCCGGGCCUUGUACACACCGCCCGUCACACCAUGGAAGCUGGUAGUGCCCGAAGUCAUUACUCCAACCAUUCGUGGAGGAGGAUGCCUAAGGCAGGACUGGUGACUGGGGU